GAUGAACGCUGGCGGCGUGCCUAAUACAUGCAAGUCGAACGAAAGUACUUUAUCAUCGCGUGCUUGCACUUACCGACAGAGGGUUGAGUGGCGAACGGGUGAGUAACAUGUGGGCAUCCUGUCCCUAAGAGGGGGCUAAGACAUGGAAACAGGUGCUUAUACCCCAUAAGCAUCGUAACUGCAUGGUAACUUUGCUAAAGCUGGCUGAUCUAUCCCCGUUGGAUGGGCCCGUGGCGCAUUAGCUAGUUGGUAGGGUAAAGGCUUACCAAGGCAAUGAUGCGUAGCCGAACUGAGAGGGUGAUCGGCCACAUUGGAACUGAGACACGGUCCAGACUCCUACGGGAGGCAGCAGUAGGGAAUCUUCCACAAUGGGCGAAAGCCUGAUGGAGCAACGCCGCGUGAGUGAAGAAGGUCUUCGGAUCGUAAAACCCUGUUAUUAGGGAAGAACGUACGUGAGAGUAACUGUUCACGUUUUGACGGUAUCUAACCAGAAAGCCACGGCUAACUACGUG
Molecule: ribosomal RNA, 512 nt
Filed under: uncultured bacterium
Lineage: Bacteria
Description: partial 16S ribosomal RNA
Rfam family: Bacterial small subunit ribosomal RNA
Source: RNAcentral